RNAcentral lists this ribosomal RNA (516 nucleotides) under uncultured bacterium. RNAcentral describes it as "partial 16S ribosomal RNA". It matches the Rfam family "Bacterial small subunit ribosomal RNA", at positions 28 to 523 of the family's 1533-position model. The record is from RNAcentral.
GACGAACGCUGGCGGCGUGCCUAACACAUGCAAGUCGAACGGAGAUUUCAGCAAUGGAAUCUUAGUGGCGAACGGGUGAGUAACGCGUAGACAACCUACCUUCUAGAUGGGGACAACACUGCGAAAGUGGUGCUAAUACCGAAUGUUGUAUGUGAAACGCCUGUUUCACAUACUAAAGGUGGCCUCUAUUUAUAAGCUACCACUAGAAGAUGGGUCUGCGUCUGAUUAGCUAGUUGGUGAGGUAAUGGCUCACCAAGGCGACGAUCAGUAGCCGGUAUGAGAGGAGGAACGGCCACACUGGGACUGAGACACGGCCCAGACUCCUACGGGAGGCAGCAGUGGGGAAUCUUCCGCAAUGGACGAAAGUCUGACGGAGCAACGCCGCGUGAGUGAAGAAGGUUUUCGGAUCGUAAAACUCUGUUUUCAGGGACGAAUGUGCAAUAUGUGAAUAAUGUGUUGUAAUGACGGUACCUGACAAGAAAGCCACGGCUAACUACGUGCCAGCCGCCGCGGUAA